This 253-nucleotide ribosomal RNA is filed under the name uncultured bacterium. RNAcentral's name for it is "partial 16S ribosomal RNA". It matches the Rfam family "Bacterial small subunit ribosomal RNA", at positions 524 to 776 of the family's 1533-position model. The record is from RNAcentral.
UACGUAGGUGGCAAGCGUUGUCCGGAUUUAUUGGGUUUAAAGGGUGCGUAGGCGGUUCUUUAAGUCAGUGGUGAAAUACUCUAGCUCAGCUAGAGGGGUGCCAUUGAUACUGAAGAACUUGAGUGAAGUCGAAGUAGGCGGAAUUGACGGUGUAGCGGUGAAAUGCUUAGAUAUCGUCAAGAACACCGAUAGUGAAGACAGCUUACUAGGCUUAUACUGACGCUGAGGCACGAAAGUGUGGGGAUCAAACAGG